Molecule: ribosomal RNA, 605 nt
Filed under: uncultured bacterium
Lineage: Bacteria
Description: bacterial SSU rRNA
Rfam family: Bacterial small subunit ribosomal RNA
Source: RNAcentral
AGAGUUUGAUCCUGGCUCAAAAUCAACGCUGGCGGCGUGCCUCAGACAUGCAAGUCGAACGAUUAAUCUUUCCUUCGGGAAGGAUAUAAAGUGGCGCACGGGUGAGUAACACGUAGGUAAUCUACCUUUGAGUGGGGAAUAACAAUCGGAAACGAUUGCUAAUACCGCAUAAUGCAGCGGCACCGCAAGGUGACAGUUGUUAAGGGAGCAAUCCGCUUAAAGAGGAGCCUGCGGCAGAUUAGCUAGUUGGUAAGGUAAUGGCUUACCAAGGCUACGAUCUGUAACCGACCUGAGAGGGUGGUCGGUCACACUGACACUGAAUAACGGGUCACACUCCUACGGGAGGCAGCAGUCGGGAAUUUUGGGCAAUGGGCGAAAGCCUGACCCAGCAACGCCGCGUGAAGGAUGAAGUAUUUCGGUAUGUAAACUUCGAAAGAAUAGGAAGAAUAAAUGACGGUACUAUUUAUAAGGUCCGGCUAACUACGUGCCAGCAGCCGCGGUAAUACGUAGGGACCAAGCGUUGUUCGGAUUUACUGGGCGUAAAGGGCGCGUAGGCGGCAGUUCAAGUCAGUUGUGAAAUCUCCGAGCUUAACUUGGCACGGUCA